UUGCUCUUCAACGAGGAAUGCCUAGUAAGCGCAUGUCAUCAGCAUGCGUUGAUUACGUCCCUGCCCUUUGUACACACCGCCCGUCGCUACGACCGAUUGAAUGGCUUAGUGAGGCCUUCGGACUGUCCCAGGGAGGUCGGCAACGACCACCCAGGGACGGAAAGUUGGUCAAACUUGGUCAUUUAGAGGAUGUAAAAGUCGUAACAAGGUUUCCGUAGGUGAACCUGCGGAAGGAUCAUUAAAGAGUAAGGGUCUCUGGCCCGAACCUCCAACCCUCUGUUGUUAUAACUACUUCGUUGCUUUGGCGGGACCGCGAAGGUUCUCCCGAGCGCGCCAGUCUCCGGACAGGCGAGCGCCCGCCAGAGUCUAACCAAACUCUUGUUUUAAACCAGUCGUCUGAGUAUAAAAUUUUAAUUAAAUUAAAACUUUCAACAACGGAUCUCUUGGUUCUCGCAUCGAUGAAGAACGCAGCGAAAUGCGAUAAGUAAUGUGAAUUGCAGAAUUCAGUGAAUCAUCGAAUCUUUGAACGCACAUUGCGCCCCUUGGUAUUCCGAGGGGCAUGCCUGUUCGAGCGUCAUUACACCACUCAAGCACCGCUUGGUAUUGGGCAUCGUCCGUCGAAAGGCGGGCGUGCCUCGAAGACCUCGGCGGGGUUUCUCCAACUUCGGGCGUAGUAGAGUUAAAUCAAAACGUCUUAUAAGCUUGGUGAGAUCUCAUUGCCGUUAAACCUUUUAUUUUUUCAGGUUGACCUCGGAUCAGGUAGGGAUACCCGCUGAACUUAAGCAUAUCAAUAAGCGGAGGA
RNAcentral lists this ribosomal RNA (802 nucleotides) under uncultured fungus. RNAcentral describes it as "eukaryotic LSU rRNA". The stretch from base 1 to 241 matches the Rfam family "Eukaryotic small subunit ribosomal RNA", at positions 1593 to 1831 of the family's 1831-position model. The record is from RNAcentral. Lineage: Eukaryota; Fungi.